UCUCUCCCUCUCUCACCCACACAUUGCCUCAAACUCAACGACCAUAAAUAUGUUAACAGCUCUCAAUUCACAGAGCAUGCAAAGACAAACCAGAGAGAGAAGAGAUCUAUCGUGAUGAUAGCCGUAAAUAUUACAUUUCUGAAAAGUUGAAAGUACAUUGUGUAUGAUUGUUGACUAUCCAAUCACCUCCACCCUCCACAAAACCCUAAUAAUAAUUGUUUCCGACAUUAUUGUUUUUCUCAGAUCUAUAUGCUCGUGAGUUCAAAAUUGGUGUGUGUGGUGCAGUGAGGAGAUUGGGGAAGGAGAUUGCAGAGUCAUGACAGAAGAGAGUGAGCACACGCAGGCAUUUCUAUAAUCAGUUUAUAUGUUUGUUUAGCCGUGUGCUCACUUCUCUUUCUGUCAUAUAACUUUCCACCUCCCACCUUUUUCCAUCAUUACUACUUUCACUGCACCCUCUAUUUCAAGAUUGCUCUCUCUGUCUGUGCUUAUUCAUAAAUCAAAGAGAUAAUUAUUAAGGGAAAUAGGCACCUCAUCAAGUGAGAUUUUUCAUUUUUUGUUAUUUUUAGAAGAACAUUUAAUUUUCGCUAAUUGAAUAUGAAAGUUUGAAUCUUGAAACCCUCUUAGCUCUAUCUCAUGUAAAUUGUCUUCUCAAGUUAUCUUUUUUUUGUAUAAUUCAUGUGGAAGCAAAUUUCAUUGAUGUAGUUGUGACUUAGAUUACAAAUUGAAAGUAAAAGUUUGAAUCUUGAUGAAGCCCUCUUAGGUCUAUCUAGUGUAUACCGUUUCUUCAAAUUAUCUUUUCACAGUUGUUUAGUUCUCUCUUUUAUGUUGGAGGAAAUUUCUUAUCAUAUGUAUCAGAUCACUAAAUGAAAAUAAAUUGUAAAUCUUGAAACCCUUUUAGAUCCCUCUAUGACUCUAUGUAUAUGUUUCUUCAAAUUAUCUUUUAUGACAAAUUAUUUUUGUAUGUUUAUGUGGAAGAAAAUGAAAUUAAAAGCAUGAAUGUUCCUUUUUUAUUAUUAUUAGGAAGGUCUUGCAUCUUAAUACAAGUAGCAGUAUAUAAUUAUAGUAGGAUAGAGGUUAUGCAGUGAUUAGAUUGCUAUUUCAUUUAAAAAAAAAGUUCUACUCAGAGGCGUGACUUUUGAUGUUGUCAUUGUUGGAGUUGAAGAUUUGGUAAGGUACGCCUGGCCACUGUUCUGAAAUAACGGCAAAGUAUUUGUUGGUUUCAUUUGAGCCAUACUCUUUAUCCUCAAUAAAAUACUAUUAUCAACAAAAAAAUUAACAUUUAUACCAUACCCAAAUUCAAAUGAAUUCUUGAAAGCAAAAUCUGGACUUUUUUCGCUUUUAGAUUAAAAAAAAUUGAUUCUUUUGUAUCUUUGCCUCUAAAGAAAAUAUUGGAUUUGUGAUUACAUUACCAUAUUUUAUGUGAUUUGUUCGUUCCAACCAAAUUGGUUUUCUGGGUUUGUUUCUCUCUUGUAAUUGGUUAUGGUAACCUCUCUUUUCCUAUGAAGCUUGGAUGCAGCUCAGAAAAAUAAGAGGUUUUUUUUUGUGUUUCAUAUGUGAAGCUGAUGCGCAUAGAAUUAUAUAUGGGUGUCAUCAAGAAUGAAAAUUUUCCAUAUACAGCCCUUGCUACUUGUUGCGGGAGGCUGAAACUUGAUUUCCCAGUGUGAGGCUUUACUGAAUAGAUUAUGAUGGAAGAAGCAAGCGGUCGGUGCUACCAAAAAUCUGUUUGGUGAAAUCUCUGAUUCCACCCGCAGCAGUGUUUCAAAAAGGAAUCAGUAAUCGGUGUGGCAUCCUUGCACGACCCAAUGGCCUCUAGGUUCAAGUUUCUCUUCGAGAAGGAGCUCACGCCUAGCGACGUUGGCAAGCUCAAUUGGCUUGUCAUUCCCAAGAAGUUUGCUGUGAAGUAGUACUUCCCUAAAAUCCUUCCAUGUCAGGUUUGCGAUCAAGGGAUGGGAUUAUUUAUCUUCUUACGAAGAGAAAUAUUGUACUCGGUAUACUAGAAGCAGUGUACGAGCGGGGCGGGCUCGUCGUUGAUGGAGAUGAAGGCAGUAGAUGUCAUUGAGAGAAUGGAUACUGACAAUGUACAAGUGAAGAAAAAUGUGCCUUCUCUUUGGUGUAAGGGUAAGGGCCUUGAACUAUUCGGCGUCGAAAUUGUGUAGUCGACAGCAAAGUUGGUUAAGUUGCCUUUUUCAUUCUUAUUAUUUUCCUAAUUGCAAUUAUGCAGCAUGCGUUAUAUAUUUUCAUUUAGAAGAAAGGCUUGAUUGUAAGACUCCAUUGGUCAACGAAAAGUUUAAUUAUGAAAACAAUGAAA
Molecule: long non-coding RNA, 2308 nt
Organism: Salvia splendens (bonfire salvia)
Lineage: Eukaryota; Viridiplantae; Streptophyta; Magnoliopsida; Lamiales; Lamiaceae
Exons: 4
Source: RefSeq, a predicted model, not a curated record